RNAcentral lists this transfer RNA (59 nucleotides) under Legionella pneumophila subsp. pneumophila. RNAcentral's name for it is "tRNA-Pro". It matches the Rfam family "tRNA", at positions 9 to 63 of the family's 71-position model. Rfam says of the family: Transfer RNA (tRNA) molecules are approximately 80 nucleotides in length. Their secondary structure includes four short double-helical elements and three loops (D, anti-codon, and T loops). The record is from RNAcentral. Lineage: Bacteria; Pseudomonadati; Pseudomonadota; Gammaproteobacteria; Legionellales; Legionellaceae.
AGCGCAGUCUGGUAGCGCGCCUGCUUUGGGAGCAGGAUGUCGGGGGUUCAAAUCCCUCC